AGGUUCGAAGAGAAGUAAGAGAAUUUGCAUCUACCCCAGCUCUUCUUAGAACAGUAAGUACAUAAUAAAUACCCUCAUUCCCAUUUUUAAUUCCCCUAAAGGCCUCCUUGAGUGGUUAAUUCACAUAGGUUCGAAGAGAAGUAAGAGAAUUUGCAUCUACCCCAGCUCUUCUUAGAACAGUAAGUACAUAAUAAAUACCCUGAUUCCCAUUUUUAAUUCCCCUAAAGGCCUCCUUGAGUGGUUAAUUCACCCAGGUUCGAAGAGAAGUAAGAGAAUUUGCAUCUACCCCAGCUCUUCUUAGAACAGUAAGUACAUAAUAAAUACCCUAAUUCCCAUUUUUAAUUCCCCUAAAGGCCUCCUUGAGUGGUUAAUUCACAUAGGUUCGAAGAGAAGUAAGAGAAUUUGCAUCUACCCCAGUUCUUCUUAGAACAGUAAGUACAUAAUAAAUACCCUCAUUCCCAUUUUUAAUUCCCCUAAAGGCCUCCUUGAGUGGUUAAUUCACCCAGGUUCGAAGAGAAGUAAGAGAAUUUGCAUCUACCCCAGCUCUUCUUAGAACAGCCUCCUUGAGUGGUUAAUUCACAUAGGUUCGAAGAGAAGUAAGAGAAUUUGCAUCUACCCCAGUUCUUCUUAGAACAGUAAGUACAUAAUAAAUACCCUAAUUCCCAUUUUUAAUUCCCCUAAAAGCCUCCUUGAGUGGUUAAUUCGCCCAGGUUCGAAGAGAAGUAAGAGAAUUUGCAUCUACCCCAGCUCUUCUUAGAACAGUAAGUACAUAAUAAAUAUGCUAAUUCCCAUUUUUAAUUCCCCUAAAGGCCUCCUUGAGUGGUUAAUUCACCCAGGUUCGAAGAGAAGUAAGAGAAUUUGCAUCUACCCCAGCUCUUCUUAGAACAGCCUCCUUGAGUGGUUAAUUCACAUAGGUUCGAAGAGAAGUAAGAGAAUUUGCAUCUACCCCAGCUCUUCUUAGAACAGUAAGUACAUAAUA
Long non-coding RNA from Ornithorhynchus anatinus (platypus), 979 nucleotides. RefSeq lists it as uncharacterized. The record is from RefSeq and is a predicted model, not a curated record. The transcript is spliced from 3 exons. Lineage: Eukaryota; Metazoa; Chordata; Mammalia; Monotremata; Ornithorhynchidae.